AUUCGAGCGUCAUUAUCACCCCUCAAGCUUCGGCUUGGUGUUGAGGCCUGCUGUAAAGGCACCCUCUAAAAUCAGUGGCAGUGCUGUCAGGCUCUAAGCGUAGUAAUUUCAUCGCUAUAGGGUCCUGGUGGAUACUCGUCAAAACCCCCCCAUUUUUAAUGAUUGACCUCGGAUUAGGUAGGGAUACCCGCUGAACUUAA
RNAcentral lists this unclassified non-coding RNA (200 nucleotides) under soil metagenome. RNAcentral describes it as "partial contains internal transcribed spacer 2 and large subunit ribosomal RNA". The record is from RNAcentral.